Molecule: ribosomal RNA, 253 nt
Filed under: uncultured bacterium
Lineage: Bacteria
Description: partial 16S ribosomal RNA
Rfam family: Bacterial small subunit ribosomal RNA
Source: RNAcentral
UACGUAGGGGGCAAGCGUUGUCCGGAAUCAUUGGGCGUAAAGCGCGUGUAGGCGGUUCAGUAAGUCUGCUGUGAAAGUCCAGGGCUCAACCCUGGGAUGCCGGUGGAUACUGUCGGGCUUGAGUACGGAAGAGGCGAGUGGAAUUCCUGGUGUAGCGGUGAAAUGCGCAGAUAUCAGGAGGAACACCGAUGGCGAAGGCAGGUCUCUGGGCCACUACUGACGCUGAGAAGCGAAAGCAUGGGGAGCGAACAGG